This 426-nucleotide ribosomal RNA is filed under the name uncultured bacterium. RNAcentral describes it as "bacterial SSU rRNA". It matches the Rfam family "Bacterial small subunit ribosomal RNA", at positions 355 to 773 of the family's 1533-position model. The record is from RNAcentral.
UAGGGAAUAUUGGACAAUGGGGGCAACCCUGAUCCAGCCAUGCCGCGUGAGUGAAGAAGGCCCUCGGGUUGUAAAGCUCUUUUGUCCGGAAAGAAAAGCAUUCGGUGAAUACCCGGAUGUUCUGACGGUACCGGAAGAAUAAGCACCGGCUAACUUCGUGCCAGCAGCCGCGGUAAUACGAAGGGUGCAAGCGUUACUCGGAAUUACUGGGCGUAAAGCGUGCGUAGGUGGUUGUUUAAGUCUGAUGUGAAAGCCCUGGGCUCAACCUGGGAAUGGUAUUGGAAACUGGGCAGCUAGAGUGCGGUAGAGGGUAGUGGGAUUCCCGGUGUAGCAGUGAAAUGCGUAGAGAUCGGGAGGAACAUCUGUGGCGAAGGCGACUGCCUGGACCAGCACUGACACUGAGGCACGAAAGCGUGGGGAGCAAAC